Molecule: long non-coding RNA, 492 nt
Filed under: Nicotiana benthamiana
Lineage: Eukaryota; Viridiplantae; Streptophyta; Magnoliopsida; Solanales; Solanaceae
Description: long non-coding RNA (NBEN_LNC017152)
Source: RNAcentral
GUAUGACUUCCCUUAUUUGCUUGAUGCCAAUGGGAUUAUAUGCUCUUGCCUGCCUGCAGAAUGGAAGAAGUCAAAGCAAGUUGACAGGGCAUAUUGUGGAAGUUGCAGACAUGUAAGCCACAACCAGAUGGAAGUCCUCCUUUACUGAAGUUUGUAUGAAAUUGUUGGAACAUACAUCCAAAUGCUCACUGUUGCUGUAAAUGCAGAGUAGAUAAACCUAUAAAAUGCAAAAUGAUUCCCCAUAAUGACUUGGUGUAUCACUCUUUUAUCAAUGUAUAUAAUACAUUGUUAUUCUGGUCAGCGUUGACAUUCUAUUCCAAGGAUGCUGUUAUUUGUUAUAGAAGUGGAAUAUAGUUUAAUUCCCCGUAAUGACUUGGUGUGUCACUCUUUUAUCAGUGUAUAUAAUACAUUGUUAUUCUGGUCAGCAUUGACAUUCUAUUCAAAGGAUGCUGUUAUUUGUUAUAAAAGUGGAAUAUAGUUUUCUCAUUUCAA